This 253-nucleotide ribosomal RNA is filed under the name uncultured bacterium. Its description in RNAcentral is "partial 16S ribosomal RNA". It matches the Rfam family "Bacterial small subunit ribosomal RNA", at positions 524 to 776 of the family's 1533-position model. The record is from RNAcentral.
UACGUAGGGUGCAAGCGUUGUCCGGAAUUAUUGGGCGUAAAGAGCUCGUAGGCGGUCUGUUGCGUCGGCUGUGAAAACCCGGGGCUCAACCUGGGAAUUGCAUUCGAGACUGAAUAGCUAGGGUACGGUAGAGGGAAGCGGAAUUUCCGGUGUAGCGGUGAAAUGCGUAGAUAUCGGAAGGAACAUCAGUGGCGAAAGCGGCUUCCUGGUCCAGCACCGACGUUCAGGCACGAAAGCGUGGGGAGCAAACAGG